Molecule: long non-coding RNA, 1171 nt
Organism: Polypterus senegalus (gray bichir)
Lineage: Eukaryota; Metazoa; Chordata; Cladistia; Polypteriformes; Polypteridae
Exons: 3
Source: RefSeq, a predicted model, not a curated record
GGGGAUAUGCUUAAAUGCCUAUCCCUGUGCAUAACAGGCACACCCCUGAUGUACUGAAGUAACAGGAUCUGGAAACUAGAUAAACCAAGACCAUCUCAGAGAACUGUCAGUUUGCCUGGAGAACUCAACCUCACUGAUGUUCCUCUUCACAUCUGGAGGUCCCAUCUCUUCUAUCCCGCAAUUCACUUAAAGAACAGAAGUGAGAGAAUUUGGCAUUCAGACCAGACCUGAAACUGAAGAGUAGGGAGCUGCAACAUUACAAAGAAAAUCACUGGAAGAAGGCCCAAAAGGAACUUUUCUUUCUUGACAGUUUUCCUUUUUGCAUUAAAUGGGGUGGCAGUUGGCCCCAAAAUUUAUUUUUUCCCGCUUGUCUAUUCAUUUUACAGUAUAUAUUGUACAGUACAGUACAGUUACAAAAUGAAGCAACAUUCAGAGCAAGGAUUUAUUUCCAUAUUAGAUUGUCUUUUUCAUUUCUGUUUAGAUUUUAGUUUGUUUUUUUUGUCACUUUCUGUAUAAUGGAGGAAAUCCCUUUGUUUGGUGAAUGUCCAGAUGCCUUACUGUACUGUCUGUCAUGCUACCUUUCAUUACGUUGCAAUGUUUGCUUCAUAAAUUAAAUCUGUGCACAUCACAUUUCCUAGCAACACAUCUUGCCUAUGACCCAAAAUGUUGGCAUCCAUGAUUUGACUGAAAGAAAAUAUAAAAGGAAAACUUGACAUAAAAUACUGAUGUAAUGACAUCACUAGAUAAAUUGUAAAAUCAUUAUGCUUAAUAAAUGAAAUUACAGACUGUUGAAACUCAAUUAAAAGAAAAAUGAACAGCAUAGGAAUCAUAAAUACUUGGAUAGAGAAAGGGAGGGUAGAAAUGCCAGCAACCAUACAACCUGCACUUCAGAGAAAGUCAUCCAUCUGAAGCUACGGUAAGCAUGUUUGGGUCUGGCCAGUACUGGGAUAAGAGAUCAACCAGGAAAAGCUUGGAUUGCUGCUUGGUGAACCCAGCAGGGACACUGCUGUAAAAAUGGUGCCGACCUUCGGAUAAUAAAUAAAAUUUAGGCCCUAACUCUCUGUGGUAAAAAAGAUCCCUGUGCAUCCUUUGUAAAGAGUAGGGUAUAACCUGAAGUCCUGGCUAAAUUGUCCACCACAGCUUGGUCAUUUUGGCCACUUGAUCAUCCCCU